This 63-nucleotide transfer RNA is filed under the name Emeia pseudosauteri. RNAcentral describes it as "tRNA-Ile". The record is from RNAcentral. Lineage: Eukaryota; Metazoa; Arthropoda; Insecta; Coleoptera; Lampyridae.
AAUGAAGUGCCUGACAAAAGGAUUAUUAUGAUAUAAUAAAAAUGUAAAAUUUUACCUUCAUUA